UAGGGAAUAUUGCGCAAUGGGGGAAACCCUGACGCAGCGACGCCGCGUGAGUGAUGAAGGCCUUCGGGUCGUAAAGCUCUGUUGUAGGGGACGAAACAAAUGACGGUACCCUACGAGAAAGGACCGGCUAACUUCGUGCCAGCAGCCGCGGUAAGACGAGGGGUCCUAGCGUUGUUCGGAAUUAUUGGGCGUAAAGCGGACGUAGGCGGCCUAUUUAGUCAGACGUGAAAGCCCUGGGCUCAACCCAGGAAGUGCGUUUGAUACUGGUGGGCUUGAGUAUGGGAGAGGAGAGUGGAAUUCCUGGUGUAGUGGUGAAAUACGUAGAUAUCAGGAGGAACACCGGUGGCGAAGGCGGCUCUCUGGCCCAAUACUGACGCUCAGGUCCGAAAGCGUGGGUAGCAAACAG
RNAcentral lists this ribosomal RNA (406 nucleotides) under uncultured bacterium. Its description in RNAcentral is "bacterial SSU rRNA". It matches the Rfam family "Bacterial small subunit ribosomal RNA", at positions 355 to 775 of the family's 1533-position model. The record is from RNAcentral.